CCCAGACAGCCAGGAUGUUGGCUUAGAAGCAGCCAUCAUUUAAAGAAAGCGUAAUAGCUCACUGGUCGAGUCGGCCUGCGCGGAAGAUGUAACGGGGCUAAACCAUGCACCGAAGCUGCGGCAGCGACACUGUGUGUUGUUGGGUAGGGGAGCGUUCUGUAAGCCUGUGAAGGUGGCCUGUGAGGGUUGCUGGAGGUAUCAGAAGUGCGAAUGCUGACAUAAGUAACGAUAAAGCGGGUGAAAAGCCCGCUCGCCGGAAGACCAAGGGUUCCUGUCCAACGUUAAUCGGGGCAGGGUGAGUCGACCCCUAAGGCGAGGCCGAAAGGCGUAGUCGAUGGGAAACGGGUUAAUAUUCCCGUACUUGGUGUUACUGCGAAGGGGGGACGGAGAAGGCUAUGUUGGCCGGGCGACGGUUGUCCCGGUUUAAGCGUGUAGGCUGGUUUUCCAGGCAAAUCCGGAAAAUCAAGGCUGAGGCGUGAUGACGAGGCACUACGGUGCUGAAGCAACAAAUGCCCUGCUUCCAGGAAAAGCCUCUAAGCAUCAGGUAACAUCAAAUCGUACCCCAAACCGACACAGGUGGUCAGGUAGAGAAUACCAAGGCGCUUGA
RNAcentral lists this ribosomal RNA (607 nucleotides) under Salmonella enterica subsp. enterica serovar Senftenberg. Its description in RNAcentral is "partial 23S ribosomal RNA". It matches the Rfam family "Bacterial large subunit ribosomal RNA", at positions 1084 to 1693 of the family's 2925-position model. RNAcentral also lists the same sequence under 2 other names. Lineage: Bacteria; Pseudomonadati; Pseudomonadota; Gammaproteobacteria; Enterobacterales; Enterobacteriaceae. The record is from RNAcentral.